AUGAAAACUCUUCAUCAAGUUUUGGCAAAUGUAAAAGAAGUGAAAGUACAAAAGAUGAACAAGGAAAGUAAAGGUAAGACAAAGAAUUGAACUCUUUUGCAAAAUCUAGUGCUUCAAAUGCAAAAGUAUCAGCAAUUAUAGCAACUAAUGGUGUUUUUGAAGUUAAGGAUUCUAAGGCUUGAUGAAUUGAUGGUAGAGAGUGUGUAACUGUGAGUUGAAUUAGAACUCCUGGGUGUACUCCUUGAGGUAAGUCUUGUUUGUUGAUUGGUGGAAGAAAAAUUGAGUUUAUGUUUGGUGGAAUUGUUUCAAGGUAUGAUUUUGAUGAAUCUGGUGGU
This 335-nucleotide long non-coding RNA is filed under the name Medicago truncatula (barrel medic). RNAcentral's name for it is "lncRNA gene39898". Lineage: Eukaryota; Viridiplantae; Streptophyta; Magnoliopsida; Fabales; Fabaceae. The record is from RNAcentral.